This 460-nucleotide ribosomal RNA is filed under the name uncultured bacterium. RNAcentral's name for it is "partial 16S ribosomal RNA". It matches the Rfam family "Bacterial small subunit ribosomal RNA", at positions 338 to 795 of the family's 1533-position model. The record is from RNAcentral.
CCUACGGGAGGCAGCAGUGAGGAAUAUUGGUCAAUGGACGAGAGUCUGAACCAGCCAAGUAGCGUGAAGGAUGACUGCCCUAUGGGUUGUAAACUUCUUUUAUAAAGGAAUAAAACGAGGCACGUGUGCCUUUUUGCAUGUACUUUAUGAAUAAGGAUCGGCUAACUCCGUGCCAGCAGCCGCGGUAAUACGGAGGAUCCGAGCGUUAUCCGGAUUUAUUUGGGUUUAAGGGAGCGUAGAUGGGGUGUUAAGUCAGUUGUGAAAGUUUGCGGCUCAACCGUAAAAUUGCAAUUGAUACUGGCAGUCUUGAGUACAGUUGAGGUAGGCGGAAUUCGUGGUGUAGCGGUGAAAUGCUUAGAUAUCACGAAGAACCCCGAUUGCGAAGGCAGCUUACUAAACUGUGACUGACAUUGAUGCUCGAAAGUGUGGGUAUCAAACAGGAUUAGAUACCCUUGUAGUC